This 312-nucleotide long non-coding RNA is filed under the name Lathyrus oleraceus (garden pea). RNAcentral describes it as "Pisum sativum (pea) long non-coding RNA (PSAT_LNC019351)". The record is from RNAcentral. Lineage: Eukaryota; Viridiplantae; Streptophyta; Magnoliopsida; Fabales; Fabaceae.
GCUGUUCCUCACCCUCACACCUCUCACCACAGAGGUAUGGGAGCCUCCUCUGCUGGAUGGACACCCAUGGACAUGGAUCAGUUCCGUGUCGAGCAGGCUCGCCAGGGAGCGGAGAUUGAUCGGAUCGUGACAGAGCAGCUCCGUCAAGGGGCUGCCAUUGAUGAUAUUCAAAGGAUGAUGCAACAUAUGAUGUUGCAAUUUCCACAGCACCCUCCUCCGCAGUAGGCACUGUAAGUCCCUCUUGCAUUUGGGUUCAAACAUUGGGGUCAAUGUUUAGUUCAAGUGUGGGGGGGUUCCUUUCAUUGUUUUAAU